UCAUACUUGUGUCAAGUGUGAUAACGUAAGGGAAGAUAAUGACAUUACCUUACUAUUAGUGUUGUCCAAAACUGGUGCCAGAAGACUCGGUAAGGCCAGAGACGCAAACGUUAAUCGUCUUAAUCAGGCGUAAAGGGUGUGUAGGCAGCUUUAAAAUUUUUCUUUAUUAUUUAAAUUAUUUAAAUUUAUUUAAUGUAGACUAAUUAAAAAUAAAUUAAUAAUGAUAAAUUAUUUAAUUAUUAAAAUUUAAUUAAAGUAGAGAUAAUAAAAUUAAUAAAAGCUAGAAUCAAAUAGAGGAUAUUUAAAUAAUACUUAGAGGAGGGGUGAUAUCCUUAGAUACUAAGUAGAAUAUUAAUGGUGAAAGCUUUUAUCUAUUAAUGAUUGACGCUGAGAAACGAAGGUGAGGAUAGGAAAUAGGAUUAGAUACCCAGAUACCCCUCUCUGUCAACGAUGAAUGGUGGUUGCUAAUUAUAUAAAUUAAUUGGUGGCGAUGUUAACACGAUAACCAUUCCGCCAUGUGAGUACGACUGCAAAGUUGAAAACAAAAAAAUUAGUCGGUCUCGAAGCAAACGAAGUGAAGCAUGUUAUUUAAU
RNAcentral lists this ribosomal RNA (593 nucleotides) under Pseudotomentella sp. RNAcentral describes it as "partial small subunit ribosomal RNA". It matches the Rfam family "Bacterial small subunit ribosomal RNA", at positions 418 to 950 of the family's 1533-position model. Lineage: Eukaryota; Fungi; Basidiomycota; Agaricomycetes; Thelephorales; Thelephoraceae. The record is from RNAcentral.